CCUACGGGCGGCAGCAGUGAGGAAUAUUGGUCAAUGGACGAGAGUCUGAACCAGCCAAGUAGCGUGAAGGAUGACUGCCCUAUGGGUUGUAAACUUCUUUUAUAUGGGAAUAAAACGUUCCACGUGUGGGAUUUUGUAUGUACCAUAUGAAUAAGGAUCGGCUAACUCCGUGCCAGCAGCCGCGGUAAUACGGAGGAUCCGAGCGUUAUCCGGAUUUAUUGGGUUUAAAGGGAGCGUAGGUGGAUUGUUAAGUCAGUUGUGAAAGUUUGCGGCUCAACCGUAAAAUUGCAGUUGAAACUGGCAGUCUUGAGUACAGUAGAGGUGGGCGGAAUUCGUGGUGUAGCGGUGAAAUGCUUAGAUAUCACGAAGAACUCCGAUUGCGAAGGCAGUUCACUGGACUGCAACUGACACUGAGGCUCGAAAGUGUGGGUAUCAAACAUGAUUAGAUACCCUGGUAGUC
Molecule: ribosomal RNA, 460 nt
Filed under: uncultured bacterium
Lineage: Bacteria
Description: partial 16S ribosomal RNA
Rfam family: Bacterial small subunit ribosomal RNA
Source: RNAcentral